CAGUCGUAACAAGGGAACCUGCGGAAGGCAUUAACACCAAACGGCGAACCCCCUCCCCCGUGAGAGUUAUCCUGCUCUUGUAACCCGCGAGGCUUGCAAUCUCUGGUAAAUCAUGGCCGGGAAAGUAGUUUUGUUCAGAGACCUCUGGCCCGCGUUUUUUGAGCGGUAGUUCUAAAGGCCUUCCCAAGCAGUCAGUGUCUGAAAGUGUCAUUGAUUGUGCAAGAAUAAUAACGCUUUAAGAUUCUUGUAGACCGCAUCUCGCGGGCAGGAGCUAGGCCAAAGGGUCCCCAUGCCCCCUGACAACCCCACAGUUUAAUGUGAAGCUCAAUGUAAUACAUUGGAUCAAAAACCCGAACAACUGUUAACAAUAGAUAUC
Molecule: unclassified non-coding RNA, 376 nt
Filed under: fungal sp.
Lineage: Eukaryota; Fungi
Description: partial internal transcribed spacer region
Source: RNAcentral